GAGUUUGAUCCUGGCUCAGAAUGAACGCUGGCGGCAUGCCUAACACAUGCAAGUCGAACGAGACCUUCGGGUCUAGUGGCGCACGGGUGCGUAACGCGUGGGAAUCUGCCCUUGGGUUCGGAAUAACAGCGAGAAAUUGCUGCUAAUACCGGAUGAUGUCUUCGGACCAAAGAUUUAUCGCCCAGGGAUGAGCCCGCGUAGGAUUAGCUAGUUGGUGUGGUAAAGGCGCACCAAGGCGACGAUCCUUAGCUGGUCUGAGAGGAUGAUCAGCCACACUGGGACUGAGACACGGCCCAGACUCCUACGGGAGGCAGCAGUGGGGAAUAUUGGACAAUGGGCGCAAGCCUGAUCCAGCAAUGCCGCGUGAGUGAUGAAGGCCUUAGGGUUGUAAAGCUCUUUUACCCGGGAUGAUAAUGACAGUACCGGGAGAAUAAGCUCCGGCUAACUCCGUGCCAGCAGCCGCGGUAAU
Molecule: ribosomal RNA, 469 nt
Filed under: uncultured bacterium
Lineage: Bacteria
Description: bacterial SSU rRNA
Rfam family: Bacterial small subunit ribosomal RNA
Source: RNAcentral